UAGAGUUUGAUCCUGGCUCAGGACGAACGCUGGCGGCGUGCCUAACACAUGCAAGUCGAGCGGGGACAGCGGAGUAGCAAUACGAAGCUGUUCUAGCGGCGGACGGGUGAGUAACGCGUGAGCAACCUGUCCCAGUCAGGGGGAUAACGAGCCGAAAGGCUCCCUAAUACCGCAUAAGACCACGAAGUCACAUGGCUUUGAGGUCAAAGGAGAGAUCCGGACUGGGGUGGGCUCGCGUCUGAUUAGCUAGUUGGUGAGGUAAAGGCCCACCAAGGCGACGAUCAGUAGCCGACCUGAGAGGGUGAUCGGCCACAUUGGAACUGAGACACGGUCCAAACUCCUACGGGAGGCAGCAGUGGGGAAUAUUGGGCAAUGGGCGAAAGCCUGACCCAGCAACGCCGCGUGAAGGAAGAAGGUCUUCGGAUCGUAAACUUCUAUCCUUGGUGAAGAUAAUGACGGUAGCCGAGAAGGAAGCCCCGGCUAACUACGUGCCAGCAGCCGCGGUAAUA
Molecule: ribosomal RNA, 509 nt
Filed under: uncultured bacterium
Lineage: Bacteria
Description: bacterial SSU rRNA
Rfam family: Bacterial small subunit ribosomal RNA
Source: RNAcentral